AUCAACUUUCGAUGGUAGGAUAGAGGCCUACCAUGGUGGUAACGGGUAACGGGGUGUUAGGGCACGACACCGGAGAGGGAGCCUGAGAAACGGCUACCACAUCCAAGGAUGGCAGCAGGCGCGCAAAUUACCCAAUCCCGACACGGGGAGGUAGUGACAAUAAAUAACAAUACGGGGUUCUUUCGGAUCUCGUAAUUGGAAUGAGUACAAUUUAAAUCUCUUAACGAGGAACAAUUGGAGGGCAAGUCUGGUGCCAGCAGCCGCGGUAAUUCCAGCUCCAAUAGCGUAUAUUAAAGUUGUUGCAGUUAAAAAGCUCGUAGUUGAAUUUCGGGACCAAUCUGCCGGUCGUGCCUCUGGUACGCACUGGUUUUAUUGGUUUCUCCCUUCUGACGAACCAUAAUGUCAUUAAUUUGGUGUCAUGGGGAAUCAGGACUGUUACUUUGAAAAAAUUAGAGUGUUUAAAGCAGGCUCACGCUUGAAUACAUUAGCAUGGAAUAAUGAAAUAGGACGUUUGACCCUAUUUUGUUGGUUUCUAGGAUCGACGUAAUGAUUAAUAGGGAUAGUUGGGGGCAUUAGUAUUCAAUUGUCAGAGGUGAAAUUCUUGGAUUUAUUGAAGACUAACUACUGCGAAAGCAUUUGCCAAGGAUGUUUUCAUUAAUCAAGAACGAAAGUUAGGGGAUCGAAGACGAUCAGAUACCGUCGUAGUCUUAACCAUAAACUAUGCCGACUAGGGAUCGGAUGAUGUUAAUUUUUUAAUGACUCAUUCGGCGCCUUACGGGAAACCAAAGUGUUUGGGUUC
Molecule: ribosomal RNA, 799 nt
Filed under: uncultured Glomeromycotina
Lineage: Eukaryota; Fungi; Glomeromycota
Description: SSU rRNA
Rfam family: Eukaryotic small subunit ribosomal RNA
Source: RNAcentral